UAAGACGAACCGUGCGAACGUUGUUCGGAAUCACUGGGCUUAAAGGGCGCGUAGGCGGGCCAGCAAGUCAGGGGUGAAAUCCCACGGCUCAACCGUGGAAGUGCCUUUGAUACUGCCGGCCUCGAGGGAGGUAGGGGCGUGCGGAACUUCCGGUGGAGCGGUGAAAUGCGUAGAUAUCGGAAGGAACACCGGUGGCGAAAGCGGCGCGCUGGACCUCUUCUGACGCUGAGGCGCGAAAGCCAGGGGAGCAAACGGGAUUAGAUACCCCGGUAGUCCUGGCCCUAAACGAUGGGUACUAGGUAGUGGACUUACAUGGGUUCACUGCCGAAGCAAAAGUGAUAAGUACCCCGCCUGGGGAGUAUGGUCGCAAGGCUG
RNAcentral lists this ribosomal RNA (375 nucleotides) under uncultured bacterium. Its description in RNAcentral is "bacterial SSU rRNA". It matches the Rfam family "Bacterial small subunit ribosomal RNA", at positions 521 to 896 of the family's 1533-position model. The record is from RNAcentral.